GCCCGGGUGGUGGAAUUGGUAGACACAAGGGACUUAAAAUCCCUCGACAGAAAUGUUGUGCGGGUUCAAGUCCCGCCCUGGGCACCA
This 87-nucleotide transfer RNA is filed under the name Desulfovibrio sp. OttesenSCG-928-O18. RNAcentral's name for it is "tRNA-Leu". It matches the Rfam family "tRNA". Rfam says of the family: Transfer RNA (tRNA) molecules are approximately 80 nucleotides in length. Their secondary structure includes four short double-helical elements and three loops (D, anti-codon, and T loops). Further hydrogen bonds mediate the characteristic L-shaped molecular structure. tRNAs have two regions of fundamental functional importance: the anti-codon, which is responsible for specific mRNA codon recognition, and the 3' end, to which the tRNAs corresponding amino acid is attached (by aminoacyl-tRNA synthetases). tRNAs cope with the degeneracy of the genetic code in two manners: having more than one tRNA (with a specific anti-codon) for a particular amino acid; and 'wobble' base-pairing, i.e. permitting non-standard base-pairing at the 3rd anti-codon position. Lineage: Bacteria; Pseudomonadati; Thermodesulfobacteriota; Desulfovibrionia; Desulfovibrionales; Desulfovibrionaceae. The record is from RNAcentral.